RNAcentral lists this ribosomal RNA (425 nucleotides) under uncultured bacterium. RNAcentral's name for it is "partial 16S ribosomal RNA". It matches the Rfam family "Bacterial small subunit ribosomal RNA", at positions 354 to 796 of the family's 1533-position model. The record is from RNAcentral.
GUGGGGAAUCUUGCGCAAUGGGCGAAAGCCUGACGCAGCCAUGCCGCGUGAAUGAUGAAGGUCUUAGGAUUGUAAAAUUCUUUCACCGGGGACGAUAAUGACGGUACCCGGAGAAGAAGCUCCGGCUAACUUCGUGCCAGCAGCCGCGGUAAUACGAAGGGGGCUAGCGUUGCCCGGAAUUACUGGGCGUAAAGGGCGCGUAGGCGGACAGCUUAGUCAGAGGUUAAAGCCCAGGGCUCAACCUUGGAAUUGCCUUUGAUACUGGCUGUCUUGAGUUUGGGAGAGGUGAGUGGAACUCCGAGUGUAGAGGUGAAAUUCGUAGAUAUUCGGAAGAACACCAGUGGCGAAGGCGACUCACUGGCCCAAUACUGACGCUGAGGCGCGAAAGCGUGGGGAGCAAACAGGAUUAGAAACCCGGGUAGUCC